RNAcentral lists this unclassified non-coding RNA (290 nucleotides) under uncultured fungus. RNAcentral's name for it is "partial contains small subunit ribosomal RNA, internal transcribed spacer 1, and 5.8S ribosomal RNA". The stretch from base 1 to 73 matches the Rfam family "Eukaryotic small subunit ribosomal RNA", at positions 1759 to 1831 of the family's 1831-position model. The record is from RNAcentral. Lineage: Eukaryota; Fungi.
CCAAACUUGGUCAUUUAGAGGAAGUAAAAGUCGUAACAAGGUUUCCGUAGGUGAACCUGCGGAAGGAUCAUUAACACUACUUGUAUGUAACAAUACAAAAAGUAUCACCCAAACGUGCUCUUUCUUUUUUUUACACACCUUUAACCCCUUUUUAAAAUUGUAACCAAUGACUGACAUUUGACAGAAGCUUGUGCUUUUGUUUAAUAUGUUUUUUCGAAAACUUAUUUACAAAUCUAAACACAACUCUUAACAAUGGAUAUCUUGGCUCUCGUACCGAUGAAGAACGCAGC